This is a long non-coding RNA of Olea europaea var. sylvestris, 616 nucleotides long. RefSeq lists it as uncharacterized. The record is from RefSeq and is a predicted model, not a curated record. Lineage: Eukaryota; Viridiplantae; Streptophyta; Magnoliopsida; Lamiales; Oleaceae. The transcript is spliced from 3 exons.
GGCAAAAGGGUGGAUUUUUGUCUUCUCCCCAAAAGAGAAGUAUACUGUACUUUUAUUUAUUCUCUUUUCAAAUAUUAGAGAUUUGUAAAUUUUUGUUUCAAUGAGAUGAUAAAAAUAUUUGUUUCUGUUUUUUAGAUCCUUACAUCACCUGAUGACUGUAACACACAGAAUUUUGCUCUUCAGGUGAAGAAAGUGUACCCUCUGGGCUUCUACAUCUUGCUUACAGUAUCCCCAGUGUUGGCGAUGAUGAACGUAUUCUGGUUUUGGAAAAUUGCGAAAGGCUUGGUAAAAACCUUGAACAAGGCAAGACACAUUGAGCAGUAGAGUUGUGCUGCUGUAGUAGAAUCACUGCUUUUGAAUUUUACAUCGAGGUACAUUCUCGUGUUCCGCCACACUCCAUAUCAAAGCCAAACUCAAGGAAGCUCUAAUUCAACAGAACCAGUUCAGAACAAGUCCAGGAAAUUGACACUUUCUAUCUCAGUCAGUUGUCAGACUCCGGUUUUCAUAGAGGUGGUUGUCACUGACUCACUGUAGCUGCCGCUAGAAAUUUGGCAAAAAUUGGAUGUUAAAAAAGGAGUAAUUGUUCCACGAGAGGGUUUGUAGGUAAUUAAAUAUA